GGGGCAGUGCUGGAAGUGGUAUACGGGAUGGUCUUAAAAAUCAUUGUCCUAUGUGACGUGAGGGUUCGAAUCCCUCCUGCCCCACCA
RNAcentral lists this transfer RNA (87 nucleotides) under Bacteroidetes bacterium ADurb.BinA104. Its description in RNAcentral is "tRNA-Leu". It matches the Rfam family "tRNA". Rfam says of the family: Transfer RNA (tRNA) molecules are approximately 80 nucleotides in length. The record is from RNAcentral. Lineage: Bacteria; Pseudomonadati; Bacteroidota.